Non-coding RNA from Gasterosteus aculeatus aculeatus (three-spined stickleback), 695 nucleotides. The record is from RefSeq and is a predicted model, not a curated record. Lineage: Eukaryota; Metazoa; Chordata; Actinopteri; Perciformes; Gasterosteidae.
AACGGGGUUAGUCAAGUUGUCUCGUGUCUCGUGAUUUCCUGUUUUAUUUUGAAAACGAACCUCCCUCUCGUUUCAGGCAACUUGCCCCUUCCCCCCGUGUGCUGGUCUGAUUGUCUGCCCGCCCCUGAUUGUUUCCACCUGUGCCUUUUAACCUGUGUGUAUUUGUUGUCUGCGUCUCCCUUUGUCCUGUGCUAGUUCGUCGUGAUGGGAAGUUCGGAUCUUUUGACCGACUUGGUUCUUUAAAUCUCGUUCAGUAUGAACGAGAAAUGAACAAAUCUUUUUUUGAGAGGACUCGUUCAAAAUGAACGAAUCGUUCACGAACGACACAUCACUCCUAGUUCGUCUUGUCUCAAGGAACCAGUGAACAGAUCUCAAGCCGUCAGAGAGGAAGUUCAAAAGGAGCCUGAUGACGAGCAGCUGUGUGCAAACGUCUCCGAGCUUCUUUGAAUCAGAGGCCAGCUGUUAGUUUAUUGUGAAGCAGAACACCGGUUGUUGCAGCGUGGGGUCGGAGACUCCGUCAUGUCUCUCUUUGUGAUACUCGGGCUGCUCGUCUGCAUUCAGGCUCAAGGAACCAUUGUGACUCCUGUGUUUGUGCUGAAGGGACGUGAUCUGCUCCUCAAGCUUCAUGCGGUUCCUCUGGGGGGGGUUUUAGCUGUUAACUGGAAAAUCAAUAAAACAGUCACUUUAGUAGAAUU